GAAGGCCAGAAAAAAAACAAGGCAUGCGUGUUGUGUUGGACAUGACAGUCGGUCUCAAGGGGCAUAAUAUCACAUGUGAUAACUUUUUCACAUCACAUGGGCUCAGGAGCUGCUGAAAAGAAAGCUCACCAUGGCGGGGACAGUGAGGAAGAAUAAGCCUUAACUUCCCCCUGCACUGGUUUCGACCAGAGGGAGAAAUGCACUCUCAUCCAAAUUUGCUUUCACUGAAACACAGUCUUGUCAUAUUUGCCCAAGAAAAUUAAGAAUGUCAUCCUGAUGAGCACUCUACACAAAUACGCCGCUGUCAGCAAAGCAGAGCACAGGAAACCCCAGAUCAUCCUGGACUACAACAGAAAAAAGGCAUUGACUGCCUUGAUAAGCUUACUGGUACAUACACCUGCAAGUGAAUGACAGCUCGUUGGCCUGUGGCAGUGUUCCACAACAUCCUUGAUGUGUCUGCAUGUAAUGCAUAUGUGGUGUGGACAGCGAUUGACCCAGCCUGGAAUCAGGGGAAAUGUUUCAAGAGGAGACUCUUCCUGGCAGAGCUUGGGAAAGCUUUAGUGACUCCUCUAAUUCAACGGCGCCAGCACCUUCCCCGCACACCAGCCUAUGGCAGUCUGGUGAGGAGUCUGCAAGCCCCAGCCACUGCCCUGGCCGCUCUGCGCCCAAAACAGGGGCAGAAACAGAAGAGUUCAUGUUGAUGUUCUGUGAAUUUGGUCUGUUUUGAUUUUUCUGUCCUUUUUUUACAAUAAAUGUUAAUUUUGGAACACAA
This is a long non-coding RNA of Gadus morhua (Atlantic cod), 772 nucleotides long. RefSeq lists it as uncharacterized. The transcript is spliced from 2 exons. Lineage: Eukaryota; Metazoa; Chordata; Actinopteri; Gadiformes; Gadidae. The record is from RefSeq and is a predicted model, not a curated record.